Molecule: ribosomal RNA, 312 nt
Filed under: Triticum aestivum (bread wheat)
Lineage: Eukaryota; Viridiplantae; Streptophyta; Magnoliopsida; Poales; Poaceae
Description: partial small subunit ribosomal RNA
Source: RNAcentral
AUGGCUAUUUUUAAGGCAUGCAAAGAAGCUAUCUGGUUGAGAGGUUUGUAUGCCGACCUUUGUGAAGAUUCAUCUUGCCUAACCAUAUUUUCUAACAUUCAAAGUGUAAUAUGUCUUACAAAGAAUCCAAUGUGUCAUGAUAGAACAAAGCACAUUAAUGUCCGAUUUCAGUACAUUCGAAAUAUUAUUGCUGAAGGCGAUUUGAAGAUAAGAAAGAUAAGUACUCAUGAUAAUCCUGCAGAUAUGAUGAUAAAGCCAGUUCCUACCAAUAAGUUAGAGCUUUGCUCAAGCUUAGUUGGUAUUUGUCACUAG